This 406-nucleotide ribosomal RNA is filed under the name uncultured bacterium. RNAcentral's name for it is "partial 16S ribosomal RNA". It matches the Rfam family "Bacterial small subunit ribosomal RNA", at positions 28 to 526 of the family's 1533-position model. The record is from RNAcentral.
GAUGAACGCUAGCUACAGGCUUAACACAUGCAAGUCGAGGGACCGGCGCACGUGUGAGUAACACGUAUCCAACCUGCCCUUUACUCGGGGCUAGCCUUUCGCAAGACAGAUUAAUACCCGAUAUAAUGGAUGGGGAUGCGUUCCAUUAGGUGGUUGGUGAGGUAACGGCUAACAAAGCCUUCGAUGGAUAGGGGUUCUGGGAGGAAGGGCCCCCACAUUUGAACGGAGGCACGGUCCAAACUCGGACGUGAGGGAGCAGUGAGGAAUAUUGGUCAAUAGGCGCUAGCCGGAACCAGCCAAGUAGCGUGAAGGAUGAAGGCUUAUGGGUCGUAAACUUCUUUUAUAUAAGAAUCGGUAUUAUAUGAAUAAGGAUCGGCUAACUACGUGCCAGCAGCCGCGGUAAUAC